RNAcentral lists this ribosomal RNA (311 nucleotides) under uncultured bacterium. RNAcentral describes it as "bacterial SSU rRNA". It matches the Rfam family "Bacterial small subunit ribosomal RNA", at positions 30 to 337 of the family's 1533-position model. The record is from RNAcentral.
AUUGAACGCUGGCGGAAUGCUUUACACAUGCAAGUCGAGCGGCAGCGCGGGGGCGAACCCUGGCGGCGAGCGGCGAACGGGUGAGUAAUACAUCGGAACGUGUCCGUUAAGUGGGGGAUAGCUCGGCGAAAGCCGGAUUAAUACCGCAUAAGUCUCUGAGGAGGAAAGCGGGGCUCCGUAAGGACCUCGCGCUGUUGGAGCGGCCGAUGUCGGAUUAGCUAGUUGGUGGGGUAAAGGCCCACCAAGGCGACGAUCCGUAGCUGGUCUGAGAGGAUGAUCAGCCACACUGGAACUGAGACACGGUCCAGACU